Molecule: ribosomal RNA, 668 nt
Filed under: uncultured Chroococcales cyanobacterium
Lineage: Bacteria; Bacillati; Cyanobacteriota; Cyanophyceae; Chroococcales
Description: bacterial SSU rRNA
Rfam family: Bacterial small subunit ribosomal RNA
Source: RNAcentral
GUGGCGGACGGGUGAGGAACGCGUGAGAACCUGCCUCAAGGUCAGGGACAACAGUUGGAAACGACUGCUAAUACCGGAUGAGCCUUCGGGUAAAAGAUUUAUCGCCUAGAGAGGGGCUCGCGUCUGAUUAGCUAGAUGGUGAGGUAAAGGCUUACCAUGGCGACGAUCAGUAGCUGGUCUGAGAGGAUGAGCAGCCACACUGGGACUGAGACACGGCCCAGACUCCUACGGGAGGCAGCAGUGGGGAAUUUUCCGCAAUGGGCGAAAGCCUGACGGAGCAAUACCGCGUGAGGGAGGAAGGCUCUUGGGUUGUAAACCUCAAAACUUAUGGAAGAAAAAAAUGACGGUACCUAAUGUAAGCAUCGGCUAACUCCGUGCCAGCAGCCGCGGUAAUACGGAGGAUGCAAGCGUUAUCCGGAAUCAUUGGGCGUAAAGAGUCCGUAGGUGGCACUUCAAGUCUGCUUUCAAAGACCGAAGCUCAACUUCGGAAAGGGAGUGGAAACUGAAGAGCUAGAGUAUAGUAGGGGUAGAGGGAAUUCCUAGUGUAGCGGUGAAAUGCGUAGAGAUUAGGAAGAACACCAGUGGCGAAGGCGCUCUACUGGGCAUAUACUGACACUGAGGGACGAAAGCUAGGGGAGCGAAAGGGAUUAGAUACCCCUGUAGUCCUA